RNAcentral lists this ribosomal RNA (786 nucleotides) under Xanthoparmelia hueana. RNAcentral describes it as "SSU rRNA". It matches the Rfam family "Bacterial small subunit ribosomal RNA", at positions 356 to 1146 of the family's 1533-position model. The record is from RNAcentral. Lineage: Eukaryota; Fungi; Ascomycota; Lecanoromycetes; Lecanorales; Parmeliaceae.
GAGGAAUGUAUAGCAAUAGCUACUUGCAUCAUUGUAGAUAUGAUGCAAGAUCGACUAUGUUGAAUAAAAUUCUAGGUAGAAUUAUGAUAAUGACAUUGUCUGCCUAUGUGUCUUGACCAAAUUACGUGCCAGCAGUCGCGGUAAUACGUAGAAGACUAGUGUUAUUCAUGUUUAAUCGGUUUAAAGGGUACCUAGACGGUAGAUCAAGCUUUCUAAUAAAGGAAAAGGACUAAUUUACUAGAGUUACUUAUGAGGGGGUAUUAAAGUACUGCUGGUGUAGAGAUGAAAUUCUGUCAUACCUCUUUUCAAAAGAAAAACCAUGGCACAGGUAUAGGCGAAGGCAUCCCCUUAUGUGAUAACUGACGUUGAAGGACGAAGGCUUNGUGUAGCGAACAGGAUNAGAUACCCCAAUAGUCGAAGCAGAAAAUGAUGAAUGUCAUAGAUUAGAUAUAUAAGUUUAUUCUAUAAAUGAAAGUGUAAGCAUUCCACCUCAUGAGUAAUUUGGCAACAUUGGAACUGAAAUCAUUAGACCGUUUCUGAAACCAGUAGUGAAGUAUGUUGUUUAAUUUGAUGAUCCGCAAAAAACCUUACCACAAUUUGAAUAUUUAUAUUAUUUAUUGUUUUAUUAUUAAUGAGAAAAUUAAUAAAGAGGCAAUAAGAUAUAUUUACAAGCGUUGCACGGCUGUCUUCAGUUAAUGUCGCGAGACUUUGGUUAGUUCCAUUAAAUUAACGUAAACCCUUACUUUAUUUUUAUAUAGAGUAGUUCCCCGCUAUAUUGGAUAUGAU